This 253-nucleotide ribosomal RNA is filed under the name uncultured bacterium. Its description in RNAcentral is "partial 16S ribosomal RNA". It matches the Rfam family "Bacterial small subunit ribosomal RNA", at positions 524 to 776 of the family's 1533-position model. The record is from RNAcentral.
UACGGAGGGUGCGAGCGUUGUCCGGAAUCACUGGGCGUAAAGGGCGCGUAGGCGGCGCGAUAAGGCGGCGGUGAAAGUCCGGGGCUCAACCCCGGAUCGGCCGUGGCGACUGUCGCGCUGGAGCACAGUAGAGGCGGGUGGAAUCCCGGGUGUAGCGGUGGAAUGCGUAGAGAUCCGGAAGAACACCGGUGGCGAAGGCGGCCCGCUGGGCUGUGGCUGACGCUGAGGCGCGAAAGCGUGGGGAACAAACAGG